This 253-nucleotide ribosomal RNA is filed under the name uncultured bacterium. Its description in RNAcentral is "partial 16S ribosomal RNA". It matches the Rfam family "Bacterial small subunit ribosomal RNA", at positions 524 to 776 of the family's 1533-position model. The record is from RNAcentral.
UACGUAGGGGGCGAGCGUUGUCCGGAAUCACUGGGCGUAAAGCGCGCGCAGGCGGUCAUCUACGUCUGGGGUGAAAGCCCGGAGCUCAACUCCGGGAUUGCCUUGGAUACGGGAUGACUUGAGGAUCGGAGAGGCAAGGGGAAUUCCACGUGUAGCGGUGAAAUGCGUAGAGAUGUGGAGGAACACCUGUGGCGAAGGCGCCUUGCUGGCCGAUUUCUGACGCUGAGGCGCGAAAGCGUGGGGAGCAAACAGG